CUGCUGCUUAUCUUCUGUCACUGUGUCAGCUGGGACAGCCACGCAGGUGCCCCUUUCUAUCACGGAGAUAAAAGCUGUGACACAGCCUGGCAGAGCCCAGGAGCUGCUCCCAACCUCUCAUCCCAUCCUCGUGCCCUCCAUCAGAAAACUACAGCCCGAGGAAGCGGCUCGGAGGCAUCUUGAAGACUUGGAUCUGGUUCCUGGCCUCGCGGAAUGAGAAUCCGGAGACUGUGCUCACAUUUCCAUGGCUGGGGGUGAUCUCCGUUCUGUGGCAGGAGCCUGGAGCCCGGGGAUUGAAGAGCUCUGCUCCUCGGCUUGUGAGACAGAAUGACCGCAGGUGCUGAGAGAGAGCAGGAAAUCAUCUUUGUAAAGCUGUCCAGAAAGCCUUGAAUUCAGCCUUAUCUGGAGGAUUACCCCACGCAGUUCAGUUCUUGGCAUUCAGCUCCUCUGCAGUCCCCAGCUUCAGCACAGGAAACUCCUUCACCUAGCUGCUGCCAGCAUGCUUUUGGCGACCCUGGCUGUCCCGUCAGCUGUUACAGGCCAUUAAAGGAUUUGUUUCUCGGCGUAUGAAAAGGCUUAAUUCAAUUCUCAUUCUCUUCUGGCAUUCCUCGGAGAGCCUUCUAGGCUGUCAUCUACUUCUGGCUUCGCUCAGACUCUGCAGUCCAAAGAGUCAUGUGCAGUGACCCGCCACCAUCCCUGCUUCAGACUCCAGAGUCAGGUAGUUAGAUGAUUCCCUUUCAUGUAAGUACUUUUUUAUCUUUCUUAUCUGUGGAGGGAAGCCAGCACAAGUCAUCUUUGAAGGUAAGGAAAAUGGAACCAAUGUUUUGUAUCCCAGAAAUCUCAUUAUUUUCCAACUAAUCUGCUGACCUCGAAUGCAGGGGUUUGGCAGUUUCUUUAAGGGCUGUUGCUAAACAGAGCAGAAGCAGGUCCAUCUUGGGAAAGUCUGCAUGGGUACAAUAUGAAUUUUCUGUAAGGUGAAUUCUUUGGGCUGUGUCAGAAUGAGACACUGUGGGUGACUUGCCUUUGUCUCAAGCUUGAUGGUAGUUGCCUUUGUCUCAAGCUUGAUGGUAGAUUUCACAAGAGGAAAAAAGUGUGUUUAAGAAGUUACUUGAUGCUGAUCUGUCCAGAGUUUUUUUCCCAGGCUGGAUUUAGGGAAGGAUUAUCUCAGAUUUUCAUUUAGUUCUGAAAUCCUGGGUAUUGGUUUUAUAAACUAAACCCCCUUCGCAGCAGGUUGCUUGUUCUGUAUUGUUGUUUUAGCUUGGUGCAUAGAAAGGAAUUUAAAUUCACUGACAGGGUGGGGCUAGCUCCUCGCUGGGGUAAAUCAGCAUAGUUCAGAUAUUUAAAGGCAGAUGCAUCAGUCCUGGCAGCCGAGGAUCUGGCUUACUUUGAUUAAAAUCUGAUGAAGAUUACUCAGCCUUACCAAGGGACUUGGAUUACCAUUCUAUAAAAAGAAGGGCAGGAGAGCAGAGGACAUUAAAUAUAAAAAUAAUCCAACGAAGGAUGUGAAGCUAAAAGCGUGGCACGUUGAACAAUGAUGCAAACACCCUACUGAAACAGGUGGAGGGCCGCAGGGCUGGUGGGUGCACGCAAGGCUGGAAGCUAGGUUUGAGUCAGAAAGACAUUGCUCUUGUCACAGCCCUGGUCUUGUCUUUUAAAGGCAGAAUGUUCAGAAAGAGAGCCUCGCUCCUUAGAAAAUCCCCAGGGGAGUCUUGCAGGAGAAGAAGUGGGUGACAAAUCCUCUGCCUCUGCUUCCUCGGGGACCCAGGCUAGUGCCAAAUCUCACUACAAAGAGGUGAUUAGAGCUGAGGAACAGAAAGUCAGCUCUUACAGAUCUGAAAGCUUGAAAUGUGCAUCAUCUUUAGGGUUUCUUACAGAGGUUGAACUUCACCUCUCCCUUCUAUCGCAGCGUUCGUUUUCCUGGUUCUUUGUUCCUUUGAAAGCAUGAAGUGUAUUUAGGGGCUGUUAUUACUCCAUGUGAUUGUGCUCCAUGGGCAAUGACCGAUAGAAGGGCUGCAAUGAGCCCCUUUUUUUUUUGGCCUUUUAAACGUUUCUGUCAAACCUUUCAGCACAUGUCUAGCUUUCCCAAGAUUUCGUAUCCAGUCCCUUAAAAUCAAUACAAUCUGGUCUUGCCUCUGCAGUGGAGCUAUUGAUAGGGAAGAUGCACUUGGGUCUUCAUCUAACUGCUUUUUGAAGCCCCUAAACCCAUUUGUCUCUUCUUUUGAUGGAGCUUGCUGCCUUGCUCAAUGGCUUGCUUGCAUAGGAAGCACCUUCCUUGCUGACCUCUGUUAAAAACGUGGAAGGUCUUCAAGUAGAGUUGCAGGACUUGUGAUUUGAGUGUCCUUCUUUACCCAGACCAAGGAGAACAGAGUGCAUGGUGCGUUGGCUGGUCUGGAAUCUGUCUAGGGUGGCUGGAAGAUGCUUUAAUGGUGUCAGAAGGCUGCGGGAGCCUGGACAGUGAGGUUGAGCGGCCUUAAGAACGUUGCUGACUUAAACUGACGCAUCUAAAUGCGCUGGAGGAAAGACGAGAGGGCUGUUUGGGGACCUCCUGGGUGAUUACAUACAUGGCUGGUCAGCGACAUCGCCUGAGUGCCCCGGCAGCUAUGCCAGUCUUCCAGUUUUCUUUCAUUGCAGUUCGGGUCGGAUGAGGAUAAGAUUGUGUUUUAAUAAGUGUUUGUUAGGGAGUGCUUCCCCCCCCGCCUCCCACCCGCAUGAAACUGUUUAUUUUCCUUGCAGUAACACGUGUGUUGCUCAGCUUCUGCUGUUCCAUGUGUCGUGCUCUGUUACUCUGCCUUGCUCGCAGCCGCAGAGCAGGGGGAACACUGCCAAGGCUUUUUCUGGGAAUUUGCUCUGGUCGUGCUGCUUCCCCGGGAGCACUCAGCGGAUGCAUGUUGUUUGCAGGGGGGGGGAACACUCAAAUGUCAGCAUCUGAAGGGAUCACGAAGGAAGCAAGGCGAGCACCAACUACUCUUCCACCUCUCAGAGGUGCCUGCAUACACACAGCCUUGAUACAACCCUGCUGCAGAUUAUAGACGUGUUUUGGUUGAGAUUCUCUGUGCUUGAUGCAUUGUCUGCCUGCAACGCAGGGCAAACUCUACUCCUCCCUUCUGGCCCGGCCUGUAAUGAUGGAUUAAGUAGAGUCUGCCCUCAGAAUUCAGGUCCUUGUCCAGGACUCUGGGAACCUGCCUGCGUGUGAUUGACGGCAUCACGUGAGCGUGUAUGGGGCUGCAUCUCAUGCUGUCGGGUCAGAGAUUACCUCCAAGCAGCCAAUACUCAACAUUCAGUCAGAAAAGAUGCAAAGAAGCAGAGCCAUUCCCCUCUCUGUGUCAUCUGCCUCUGAGAGUGGGAGAGUGCUGGCAGAGCGCUACCGGGUCUGUACUGGUAUAGAGAGGAAGGCUCAGAUUUGAUGAUUUGUCCAUUAUCUGGUGGUGGAUACAGCCUAACCUGGGCUCAGAGCAUCCCAAGGUCUGUAUCCUAGUGCAGGAACUGGCUGCUGCUGCUCUCUUCUGAAUAGACAGCUUUCUCCAGCCUCACAGCAUGCUAAUGUAGGCCAGUCACCUUCACCACAACUCCUGGCGCAAGAUAUUCAGCAGACUUGAUGCUUCAUAGUAGGCUGAAUCUGGUAUAACCAAGGCAGAAUUUCUACCUGCCAGUAGUGAAGUAAUGCCCUGUGAUUUCAAGUGACCACUGGUUUGACAGCAGUAGUGAAAGGGAAAGGCAUGAAUAGGCCGGAUAUCAGGAAAACCUUCUCAGGAGUGAUGAGGCUGUGAAAUGGACUGCCCAGGGAGGUGGUGGAGUCACUGUCCCUGGAGGUGUUCAAGAACUGUGGAGACGUGGCACUGAGGGACGUGGUUUAGUGAGCAAUAAUGGUUGAUGGGUGGACAGCUGGAUUAGAUGGGUCCGACUAGAGGUCCUCCAAUUAGAGGUCUUUUCCAGUCUAAAUGAUUCUAUGAAAGCAGUCGACCGUUUUCUUGCAGUCUCUGAGGAGCUUGGAUAUGGUGUCUGAAACGAGCUAAGGAAGCCACCUAAUCUCUGAGCACAUCCACCUUCUGCAGCAUACACCCUUCCAGCCACAAAGAGGUCCUGAGUCCCUCAGUGGCUGCAAAGAACAGCAGGUAGAUGGAGCAGACAGAGAUGGAGAGCAUUCUUUUGUUGCUUUUUUUUUGGGGGGGGGAGUAUCGUUGAAGAAUCAGGGUGACAAAAAUAUUUUGAUGGAAGUGACUAUGUGAAAUAUCUUUUCAUUUUGAUUAUUUGAAAAACAAAAACUGUUCAUGGGUUUUAAAAUUCAUGUCCCCUCCGGGUUGCUUUGUUUUGUUUUGUUUCUUAUUCCUUCUCCCUUAUUCCUCAGAGGAAGCCAUCCAAACCUACACGGUGCGUCAUUUCUUGAGGAAAUGCAGUGUGAUCUUUUUUUCCAGUUUAACCUGGGCUGAAAAAUCUUCUGGUGUUUCAUUUGCCUGAGAAAUCAGAAAAAAAAAGCUUGGAUGAAACAGGAAUCUGACUGGUUCACAGGGAACCUUCUUGGUUUUGGAGACCCAUUUGGGUGGGGUAGCUGCAGGAGCUCUUUGCUGUGCAGGUUGGGGAGGAGGUGAUGCCAUCUUUGCCUGGGCCAUACUUUGUGCCCAAUGCCUUCUCCAGGGGUGAGGGGCAUAAGGGGUGCAGAGCUGUGUCUUGGUUGCAGCAGGGAACUGCUACCACUGAAGUAUGAUUCUCAGCUUUCUGGAGUUGUGGAAAACAUCUGGACAAUGGUUGAAAUUGGAAGAGCGAAGGGCUAUCCUGGCUUUUGAGGGCAUAUCAUGGGAUGUCCCGCAGGUGGCUUGUUGGAGGUGAACCACAGAGGGAGGACUGCACUGGAGAGGCAUAGAGGCUCACAUGGGACGGGAGUGGUGGCAACUGCCUGUAUGCCUGAAAGCAGGGCAAGCAGUGGGCUGGGGGUGGAGGAGACCACCUCCGCCUGUUGCUGCCAUCUCCACGAGCUGCCAGCUCUGCCGUGUAGCUUUGCCCAGAUCUGCAGUAGAGCUGCUCAUCCCCAGCCCUGCCAUCCCUGUGCCCCACAUGCUGCCUCUCCUAUAAAUAGCCGGAUGGGAAGCAGAGCGCAGAGCCGCCGCAGAUGGCCCCCAGUUCCACGCGCACUCAUGUGUGAGAUCCCAGAGAGGGGCUGUCAAUUCCUUGCCUACAGCCACCCAUGCAACCUCAUUAAGGAUGGUGUCGUCUUCCUUAACCCCCAUCGCCCCCUCCCUCCCCACUUCAACGUGCCUCCAUUUGAGCACCCUUAUUAAACGUGCACUUCUAAGCAAGGAGCGCUGACUUCCCCUUAAUUGAGGCAUAAUAAUUAGAGCAUUAACACAUUAGGAGAGUGAGACAGCAUGUUUAGCUUUUGUGAUUAAUUAUCUGAGGAUUGUAAUAAGUUGUUAAGACAUUAAUUACUCUGGCAUGUUUAUUGCUCUUUAUUGCAGAACUGACACUUGGUGGAAGAGUUGCUGGUGUGCCUGGCGGUGCACCGUGAGGUGGGCUGGCCAGGGGAGACCUCUGCUCCCCCAUAGACACUGAGCUGCUGCUUGGGAAUGGAUCUAGGGGAGCAGAAACAGCUCCUGAACCUCCAGCAGGACACCUCGGGAUGGAAGUGGUGUCUGAAUCUCUUAGAGUCGUAGGAUUAUGAAGGUUGGAAUAAAACACUGAGAGCAUCAGCCCAUCCCCACCGUGCCCACUAAACCAUGUCCCUCAAUGCCGCGUUCUCCCUCAUCUUGGGGCAGCCUGGGAGCUGGAAGGCUUAUUUUUAUGGAUGGUUUCAGCUGGAUUUCUCUCUUCUUUCAAACAAAGUGUUUCCUCUCGGAUGGUUUGAGCCUGCCCUCAUUUGGAUCUUUGUUUUUGCAAAUCCAAGUCAGCGUGGCUCAUUGUGCCUGGAUCUGAGGAGGAUGGCUGUCUGUUAACGACAAGCUGAAGUUCAGCGUGUCGGCGGUGGUCAGGGAGUGAACCAGGACCCCAGUGGCCUCGCUUGGCUCUUGAUCAGAUGAAUUUUCUUCUGGAGAGCUGGGAGGUGGGUUAGGGAAGGCUGUUGCUGUGGCAGCAGGAGUGGAUCAGCCCUCUGCAGCCUGUUCUUCACACAGCAAGCUGCUCAGCGACCUGUCAGAGCUGUGCUGAUCAGAUGGGGGCUGAAGGCAGAGUUCAGAGCAGGAGGAUGGGUGGGUCCAUGUGCUGCUGUGACAGAGAAAAAAGGAAGCAGGAGGCUGCGAUGGGCCUGUUCCAGCCUUCUGCUUUUCCCAUGAGUUGCACAGUGCCAGAGUCUUGCUGUCCAGCUCUUUGGGUGGGGGACAGCACAGGAGAAAUGGGGGGAAAUGGAGUAACAGCCCCAGCCACUGGCAUGGAGAAUAAAACUGGGAAAAUGGUGAAAGUCGAGAAGGUGAGAAAGCUGUGAGUUUUGUGUGUUUGCUGUUGGUUUGAUAUUGGAUGGCCCCAUCCCUGCCGACAGCCAAGGUCAGGCUGGAUGGGCUCUGAGCACCACUAGGGCUGUGAGUGUCCCUGCUCAGUGCAGGAGGGUUGGACCAGAUGGCCUCUGAGGGUCCUUUCCAGCUCAAAACGAUGCUGUGGUUCCUUGGGGAGCCCUAGAGCUGAAAUGUCUGGUUUCCAGCCUAUGGCAGUGCCCUUGUGGCUUUGCAACACGUGCUUGUGUCUUGGGGUAGCAGCCAAGGGAGUGGGAGGGGGUCUUUAAACGUGAAGACCCUGUCCGGUUCGCCUUUCCCAAGGACAGACUGUCUCACUGUGGCUCCCACCAGCUCAAUCUGCUGUCACUGUGUCACUGGCACUGGUGGCCAGGGAGCUGCACAAGGCACUGAAUGCCCUCCUCGUGUGCGAGCUGGGAUCCAUCUUGUGUCAGCUGCCUUCAGCACCUCCGAGCCCACACUGCCUUGCUGAAGCCCAGCCUGAAUAUGGCAUUUGCUGUCAGGUGGCUGAUUUCUGCCUGCAGAAUAUGGAGAGCGUCAGCCUGGCAUUUCCCACUUGCCUCCUAGGGACAAAGCAGGUCAUGACUUCCGUGUAUUAUCAUUAAAAAGAUAAUUUCCUCUAGAUGUGUGCAAUAAGACAAUGGUGCUGACCUGUGAUCCUGGCAUUGCACAGCAUUAAUGAUUUCCCUUUGCAGGUAAUAAGCAGCAAAUGUACACAUUUUGGGGAGAUCUGAAUUAGUUUUUUUCCCUCCUUUUAAGACUGCUGUCUUCCUAGGCCAGACUUAAUUAGCAGACCUCAUUAUUUCCUGAAAUGUAACUUGACUUCCAUUGAAUGAGAAUUGUUCAGUGGAUGGGGAGCAGCAGAGCGGUGCUGCAAUAUUCAUAUUGUUUAAAUUGCAACAUUAACAUUUCAUGCCGCUCUUGGCAUAUUUUCAGGUGCGGCCCUUUAGCUCAAUGCAGUGCUGUGAAAGGUUGGAUCAGAACAAUUAGGAUACAGCGACUGGAUUUCUGGAUUAUUAUUAUUAUUAUUUUUUUUUUAAGCAACACAAGCUUAGAUUCAAUGCCCAUCACUCUAUUUGUUUGGCAGAACAGGGAUUCCAGCGCCCCUGAAGUAAAUGCUUUUCUGGAAUAAAGGAUGUGCUGUAGCACAUGCUCACCUCCUCUCUUAGCAGAGAUGAAGCCCUGCAGGUACAUGCAGUACGUGAUUCGCAGGGCUGGAAGCACCUCCUGGGACUUGACCUUCACUAGCUAAAUAGGAGAACUCCCAAUAAUGCUUCUGGCCACCUAGGCCACAGUCGCACACAAAAAGGCUGUUUCCCACUUUGCCCUUGUUCUUGGAUGCCUCAGGCUGGAGGUGGCACUGUAGUAAUGCCCAGGUCCAAGCGGAUCCUACAUGAGCACGUGGAUUGCACUCCCUAUCUCCAAACAGCCCGUGGGCCUUGGUCCUGCACAGGGGCUCCAGUGACCUUUGCUGCCUUGCCCCAUAGUGUGCUUUCCAGUAGUUUUUCCUGUACUGGAGUUCAGUGUCAAUGAUGGGAGUUAAUGUCAAGGAAUCAUAGAAUACCUGGGUUAGAAGGAACCUUAAAGCCCACCCAGUCCCAACCCUACAGUGGGCUGGCUGCCCCUCCCCCACCAGCUUAGGCUGCCCAAGGCCCAAUCCAGCCUUCCUCGAGCACCUCCAAGGAUGGGACACACGUCUGGGAUUGCCAUGAACCAAGUGCAACACCUUGAAUUUGGCCUUGGCAGUGUCAAGAACAACUCCAGCUUCCACCCUGGAACAACUUAGUUAGGGUCUCUGACUUCAGCCAACCAUGCCUCCCAUUUGUAACGUGUGCAGUGGGAUCCAUGACAUCUUAUCUCCCAUGGAUACGUAGCUUGGGUCAGGGUUCUCUGGUAUCUGGUAAGCUGCUUGUGCUGAACGGAACACCUCCUCUCGUGGGUUAUUUAUAACAUCCUGCUCUCCCACGCAGAUUGUCUGGUGUCUAAUAGUGGAUGAUGCACUACAGUUUGCAAGGUGCUAAUAAUCUCUCUCCUCUGUUUGACAGUCUGUUCCCAUGAGAUUUAUAGACUCUGACUGUCCCUGAGACCUCUGCCUCUCUGUCAGAUCAGGCUGAAAUCUGUUCUCAGUGUCAGAAGCUGCUGCCAAGCAGGCAGGGGAUGGACUGAUGCGUGUGUUUUGCAUCCCAUAAGAACUCAAGCACAGACCUGGGGGGCGAUGGGAGCUCUGAUUGCCAACUUGUGGGUUCAGGAAGGUGAGCCUCCAGGAGAAGGGCCGUGCCCGCAGCCAUCCUGCAUGAGAUGCCGUGCUGCGGGAUGCUCACGGGCUGCACUUCGUGUUCCCAUCGCCUGCGGUGACCAUCACAAGCGGCGCAGCCCCUGUGGGAACGGCCCCUGAGGACAAUAAACGAGCCAGCCCCGAGCUCCAGGCUGCUGUGAAGAAUUGCCUGGCUAAAGGAUAAUGAAUACCGCAGCAGGAGACGGAGCGUUUCUCCGAGGCCAUCCAUCCCCUUUAUCACCCCGCUAACAAGCCCCUGAGCGACUUCAGAGAGGCUUCUGCAGAGCAGCUCAAUCCCUCACCGUGCUGGCGGCUGGGUGCUGGGGGCUCUGCGGGAAGCCACAGCCCCAUCCCACAGAGCAACCACCAGUGCCCUCCAGGGGUCCGUGUAGUGCCAAGGAGGGGCAGAAGAGCCAGGCAUCCUUUUUUUUUCCAAGGCACUUUUGGGCCCUGCAGCACUCUUUGGAGCAUUGCUUUACCCAGCUCCCAGUCUGGCAAAGAUUUCUGAGGUCUGUGCGAGGCUCAGGAGGAGUUUAGUGCUGCUGGCCAGGAGGUUUAUCUAUAGGAGGAUGCAUCUAGCACGGUCCCUGCAAGAACUUCACAUCCAGUGCUGGAGGAGGAGAAGGGAAAGCAAACAGUGUUGGGUGUUCUCAUCAAUAUAGGUGGCUGGGGGGGUGCGAGGGGGGGCAGAAAGCAGGAGAAAAGCUGAAAGCCCUUCAGGAAGGUGUAUAGAGCACAGUGAUGGGCAAUUAGGUUGUUCCAGGAAGGACAGAAGUAGCAGAGAGCAGUGAGCUGAGUCUGAGGAGCUCUCUGAUACUCAGCAUCAGCUUCGACUGAGGUCGCUGGGUAGGGCUGGUUGUGUUUAAUGCCUCAGUUUCCCCACGGGAGGGUUCAUUUACAGCCUGAAAACAUCUGGCACUUUUCCUCCUUUGGCCAGCACUGUUAUGUGUUGAAUUGAAGGGAAACGCAAUGCAUCACCCUCCUCAUGGGCUGCCACUCUGCCAAGAGUAGCGGAGAUUGGCCUUCCAUCAUGGGGGGCUGAGGUGGAAGGGACCUCCCGGAGCAUGCAGCGGAGAAAUACUGUCAUUAGCUGAGGAAGACCUGGCAGAGAUGGAGUGCUCCUUCACCUUGCCCGCCAGACCUCUGCCCUGCUUGCUGCUAACAGGACAGGGAAAUGCUAACUGUGCCAGCUGCAGUGCUUGGAGUGCUGUCUGCAUCCAGAUGUGAGAAACAGCUGGGACAGCAAGGCUUUUACAGCCUGGUGGGGGUGGCUUUGGUCUUUUUGCUGCCUAUCAACAAGCCCUUGCUGUUGGGAUCAAAGAAUGUUUCUCCAUACUUACAGUCAAUGGGUGCUGGAUGAUCCCCAGAGGUCCCUUCCAACCCCUACAAUUCCGUGGGUCUGUGAUGUCCCUGGCCAUGAAGGUCCCAGGAUGCAGGAGGUCUGCCUCCUGUACUUACCAGUGUAACAGGGCAGCCUUCGGGGUGGUGUAGGUUUGAAGGAUGCCUCACCUGCUCCUGUCUCACAGGUUGUAGGGAAAUCAUUUUAAUUAGCGUGACACGUCCCUUUGUGGGCAAAAAAAAAAGAAAGAAAAGAAGGAAAGCCAAUAGAAACUCCGGCCAUUCGGGGUAUUUUUAGUUCUUUGCGAAGGACUGUUAACAUCUCUCUCAGCUCCCUGAAGACUGCUUUGGCUCUGCAGUUGCCUGCGGUGCUGUGCUGACGCCAGCACACCCUGCAUGAAGGUAAGCCAGCCCCCGGGGCUGCGGUUCUGGAGAGCCUCGUUGCCCCAUCCUUGCUCUCGGGAUGCCCACCAGGCACAGCUCUCAGAGAAGGGGUGAGAAGCUCAGACGUAGAGUUCCCACACUGAGGCAUCUCCCCCCCUCCUUCCCUUUCUGAGCUGAGAGCAGCAAAAUUAAAGUAAAACUCGGCUCCUGAGCCUGAACCCUUCACCUGGCUUGUUUUCCCUUUUUUUUUUUUUCUCUGACCAUUUCGGUUGGCUGAGUGUCAUUGCCAGCCUAUUGCUUAUGGAGGGAAGGAGACCUGAGAGAGGAUAAAUCUGGAGGCAAUGAGGUUGGAGGGAGGCAAGUCAUCUGCUCUGACACUUUUAUAGUGGAGCGAGGCUGCUUGGGAGUGAAUCUUCCUUGCAGCAUAUGCUGUGGGAUGACGUUGCUUCCAGGGGUGGCAGUAGCCCUCCCCAAGCCUUGCUGCCCAGCCCUGUGUUCUUCCCUUGGGGCUGGGAAUGCCCUGGGCUGCAGGACCACUGGGUGGGUUCUUGGCUUUGGCCAUCAUUCCCUUUAUGGGUAUUUCAGGCUUUCAGCGCUCUGAAUGAAGGCAAAACUGUUGGGAUGUCUCAGAUGUGCCUGGUUUUGCCACCAGAAGAAGCCUUUUAUGACUUCAGCCAACGGACACAGGCAUUGUUUUGGACAUGAUGGAGCUGUUGGCUUGAGUGCGUUUCUUGUUUUGGAAAUGCAGAGGGCGCAACAGGAAUCACAGUGAAAUCCUCCUCUAAGUUGCCCAGGAGAGUGGGUGGCCUCAAGGAAAGGUUACCCCCAGCCCUAGGAAGGCAGUUCUGCAUGCUCAGUAGCGUGGUGAGGAGCUGAUGGCCAUGUUCCGUGCAAGGGUGGGAGCCAGGGGAGAUUCCAGGUUACACUGCACUCCCUGCUCCUUUCCAAUAUCACUGUCAACUUGGAUUUCACAUGGUGGUGGUGAUGCUGUGGCUGGCGUGACUGUAACAGAAUGUCACUGGGAGAGGUGAUGUUUUUCCCCCCAUAGGGGUACUUCUUCCUUUCCCUUCCCUCUGGCUUACAUGACAAACUUCAGACUCCCAGUGCCAACAUCUGUGUUGCCCAAGGGCCACCACACACAGCACUGGGCAUUGCUUUGUGCUGUGUCAGUGAGCAGCUCUGUGUCACCGGUGACACUCCAACACUAAGGGUUGAGUGGGUGACCAGAGGGUGACAUGUGUCACUGAGACAAAUCAGGGCAGUCGAGAGCUGCCGUGUUUGCCAUCAAGAGGAACAAUCCCUUACCAUACUAGCACCUUCCUACAGCAGCAUCCUGCUAAACCUGCCGGGCCAUCAGGCCCCAACCUGAGGUAAAUCUGGGUCUGACAGAUGGACAGACGUGUGAUGAUGGUUAAGGCUCUCCGUGGGCUGUCUUGCCUCCUCUAAGCAGGAGCUAUCAGGAAGGGAGUGUUUGGCAUGCUCAGCAGCCCCAUUGCCAACCUGCUGUCCUCAGGGGCAACUUCAGCAAAGCCCCUGUGCUGCUCUGUGUCCAGCUUUCAUCUUCCAGCUGGGUAUGGAGGAAGGCAGGAAUGUGUCUGCUGCUGCCAGGCUGUGCUGGAAAAUGUAGGCAGGGGACGCCUAUAUGCGUGCUUCAGGAUCCAAGAUCUUCAUCUGGUGCUUGUUCUCUAUUAGCCCCAAUCCCCUCUUGCAUCUUUUCCAGCUGAUGCCUGAGCUCGUUUUUGUUUUGUUUCCCUUUCUCCCUCACCUUAUGAAAAAUGGCUUUGCCAUCUGCAUCUGUCAGGAGUCUGUGGAGCCGGGCCCACGGCUCAGUGAGUCUACAAACGUGUGGUUGGAUUGUGGGCCCCACUGACAGGCUGGAGCCGAAUACCAAUGUGCAGGAGGAUGAGUGCACUCCCUUCUCUGCUGCUGGUGCCUCUGCUGGUUGUUUUUUUUUCCUAUCCAACGGAGGUGUGAGAAUUGCCUCUGGGAGCAAUGCUUCCUUCUGCUCCUGUUCCGCCUUGCCAAGGUUAGGUUCUCUGUUAUCCAUCAUCAGAUGAGGCCUCGCCUCACUCCUGCAUCUCAGCUGCUGAUGGGAGGGCUGGGGAAGGGGAAAUGUUCCACUCUGCCUCCCCGGCCAUCCCUUCCCCUCUCUUUUUGCAUCUCACCCACAGGUGCAGUGCAAGGCAGCAGGUAGGCUCGGGCCCAAGGACACUUAGAAUCACAGAACCAUGGAACAUCCCAAGUAGGAAGGGAUCACCAAGACCCAACUCCUGGCUCCGCACAGGACCACCUAAAACUCAGACCCUGUGUCUGAGAGCGUUAUCAAGAUGCUUCAUGAACUCCUGCUGCUCGGUGCUGUGCCCACUGCCCUGGGCAACCUGUUCCAUGCUUCACUGCCCUCUGGUGCAGAACCUAUUCCUGAUACCCAACCUGAACAUGAUGUUUCCUUUGCUUGCUGGUACCAAGUGGCUCUGGAGAGAGUGGAGACUGAGGUAGAUGAAGAUGAGGUAGAUGAUCUGUCCAACCAUACAUUCCUGCUUUAAAAUGUGAUUUUGUAUGGAAGCUUUUGGCCAAGUUGAGUCAGAGCCCAGGUAAGAUGUGACAGCACCAAGUGCUCCUGCACAUCUUAGCCUCACUAUAACUCUGUGAGGUCACACAGCUGUCCACAGGAGGUGACAACCUGCCUCGGCCCCACUAGCUUUGCCCACCCCCUCUCUGCCUAUUGGGUUUCCUGCAGUUUGCUACAUGAGCCACUUCCCCAUCCUUGCUGUGCUGACACAUGUAGAGCCAGGUGGGCUCAGAGGAGUGGGCAGAAGAUGAAAGGAAUCUCUCCAUGCUCUUGCCACAGCUCUCUGGUCAAGGAGGAGAAGCUUCUAGGAGGGUGGCCCCCUGCUUUGGCAGGAGGAGAGAGCCAGCAGCUUGAGCUGAGUUGGUUUUCCAACAAGCAGAUGGAUGUUCAGCAGGAGCCCACGGAAACCUUCUAGCUUCAGGCUAGCUGCGAGCCCUGCAAACCACAGCAUUGUGCUGAUGCAAAGAAAGCAUCGCUCUACUGCUGCUCAGUCUGAAUUACCUCUCUGGGGGGCAGCGUCCAUCCCCUGUGUCUGUGCUCUGCAUCUGGCUGGGCAAGGCCGUGCAAGGAGGGAGGAAGGCAGCAAUGGCAGCCUCUUCCCACAUCUCCACGCCGCGGGGCUCUUGGCGAGCUAGCGCAGUCUGCUCUGCAGGCUCUGAGUGCUCCUGCAGGUGGGAGCCAAUUUGUCUGCAUUCCUGCCCAGGUGCCAUCUGCUGUAGGAUUGCCUGCGCGAGGAUGAGCACGAUGGGGAUGGCAAAGGGGUGGUGGGAGAGAGGAGCCUCAGCUUUCCCUGGAUAACUUCAGCACUUCUUGAAGCCUUCGCGGCGGGGAAGUCGCAGCCUGUCAUUUGCUGUUCCUGGAGUGUGAUGGGGAGCUGAGGCAUUGCUAAUGGCAAGCUAUCAUUUUAAUGCUAAUUUCCCAGCAUUAGAUCAGGACGGGGGAGGCACAGCCUUCGAGGAGGGAAGUCAUUAGCAGAUGGAGAGGGGGGGAUGUGUGAGGCUUGUUCUGCACCCAAGAAUGGACUUCCAGGAGGUGGAUGAUUAACCACCACUGGGAAGAUGGGGAGCAGAUGCUGGGUCAGUCCCUGGUGGCUGUGGGAGGGACGUUUUCUUCCAAGGCUCCUUCCUGCAUGGGUUGCCUGAGUUCCUCAGGCUUUGGGCGAGAUUUGAAGUCUGCAGUUAGUCCUUGGUGCCUGGUGGCUGUGGGGUGCUCAGAGCAGUGGCAGGACUGUGCUGGUGGCGUGGUUGUCCUUUAAUGAAGGAGCCAACUCUUACCAGGAUUGGGUUUAGCUUCUCCUUUUAUGAAAGUUCCCAAAUGUAGAAGCGUGGAUAUCCACAUUCAUAGGUUCAUAUAAUCAUUUGAGUUGGAAGGGACCCUUAAAGGCCAUCUGGCCCAGCUUCUCAGCACAGAACAGGGACACAUACUGCUCCAUCAGGUGCUCAGAGCGCUGUCCAACCUGACCUGGGGUUUCUGCAUUUACGGGGCUUCCACCACUUCUCUGGGCAAUAUUGGUUGAUUUCAAAGAAGAGUAGUUAUGGUCCUGCUGGGCUGGCUGCUGCAAAGCAAUAGUGCUGCCCAGCCUGGUGCUGCUUUCCCAGGUCACCAAUGCCUUGUGCCCAAGCGGGGUACAAAUGCCACCUGGGGCUUGUGGGCUCCCCAUCCCAUCUCUUCUUAUCUCCACAUAUUGGCAGGAGGCAUGUUAAACCCAUGACCCAUUCUCAGUGGUUGCCCAAUGACUCAACGCCAAUUGCAGGAGGUUUGCUUCAUGCACAUGUGGGAUGUGGGUGGAAGGUUCCCUGUUGGUCUCUUGAUGAUUGAGUCUGUGUAAGGGAGUCUGGCUCUGCCUGAGCACAGCUGGAGGUAGGAUCCCACUCCUUGUUCUUGUGCUGGAAUGUUGAGUGGGAAGGAUUUGGUGAGGCACUGGCACAGGCUGCCCAGGGAAGUGAUGGUGUCACUGUCCCUGGAGGUGUUCAAGACCCGUGGAGGUAUAGCACUGAGGGAUGUGGGCAGUGGGCAUAGUGGGGUGGGUUAAUGAUUGGUCUAGAUGAUCUUAGUAGCCUCUCCCAACCUCUAGAAUCCUAAGAACAGACAGACCCCAUGCCUACAGCUACCUCUUGUCAUAAAAACAAGCUCAGCUGCCCCAAACCAUUUAUCUGCCCUUUCCCGAGCUGGAAGUUCUCUCAUACAACCUCAUGGUUCAUCUCCUUGAUCUGUGUUUACCAAAUGGAAAAGCAGUUGUGCUGCUUCCCAGCCUAGUGUAGGUGCCUGGGAGCUCGUGUGAAGUUUGAGGGGAGGUGGGUGGUUGUAGUGGACUGUAGGGCCUGCUUGGGACUGUGUUGGCAGCAGUCAGGAGCUCCUCUGUCAUUUCUAGAUCUGCUUGGAACAUCUCCAGCUAGAUCAGAUAGAUUCGGUCCAGCCUGACCUUGAAUGUCUCCAGGGAUGGGACAUCUUGGGACUAAAGGAAAACAAACUCAGAGGCUGUGCCUGGCUGAGAGGGAGCUGGCUGCCUCCUGGUGAGGGCUGGCAGUGUAUUAAGGCAGGGGCAUAUUUGUCUCCUUGUUCUCAGCAUGGCAGAUCUCCUGAAGACCCACCAGCCUGUGCUGAUUUAGACCAUUAGAUUUAUCAUUUCAAACACGUGUGGGUUUUCAAGACCAUUUAAGAACCAUUCUGGCAUCUGGCAGGGAAGCGAUGGAGGAACAAAACCAGCCAUGAUAAAGGGAAAGAAAACCAGCAACUGGUUAAGAGAGAGGAAGCCAGGAGGAGAGCAUCCUGCCAGGAGGACAUCAGCACAAGUUGCUUUAGCGCAGCAGCAUUGCUCUGUGCUAUUCCCAACUAUCAGAUCUGCCCCAGGGGAGAGCAUGACUCACUGUUUUUAGGGAGCAAUUUGCAGCCGAAGAAUGGCUCCUGUCUUGUCUAGAGCUUCUCCCUGCCUUGGGCACAGAGACAGAGCAAAAGCGAAGAGCUGUUUUAUCCUAGCCCAGGAGAAGCAAACAAGUGGCUAAGCGAGGAAAUCAGCGCCUUAUGUGUGUCCAGGAAUAAUAUAAUCAAGCCGUUUUGGGGGAGAAAAAUAAAAUCAGUAAUGUUGCUUUUCCCAGUUCAUCACUCUGAAUAAUGAGCCUACAAGCUGGCUGGGGAGCUCCCAAGGGACACCUGUGUGCAGGAGAUGGACACAACACGCAUCUUGGAUGGGCCAAUAGCUGGAGUGCUUUCUCUCUCUAAUUUUCUACAUCAGUGAGAACACAGAGCAGCACCAUCCAUCAUCGUCAGAGCCAUCCUGAGAAGGCACCUCCUGCCUCUCCAUCGAGGGACGCUGCACCUCUGUGUCCUGCACGAGGCCGCAGGUGUUGCAACACAUGGUGUUGCAGUAUGUCUGCUUGGAGCAGCCAAGGGUCAGAGAAUCAUUUAGGUUGGAAAAGACUAUGGAGAUCAUCUAUCCCAACCACAACCUGGAGCUCUCUUCCAGGCACGGUCUCCUGCUUGUAUCAACCCUGCUCCAGUGUUGUGCAGCUCUUGCUGGCUUCUGUAGUAGCUGCUUUGUUUACUUCCACAGUGCCUGCCCUUUAGGUAAUGAGCUAUAAUUCAUCCUGCUUUACACAGUGCUCAGAGGUACCUGGAGCAAGAAAGGUGUGCCAUUACAAGCACCUCUCUGGAGCAGAGGUUGCUGAUAUCCCGGAGCUGUACAAUGGGGAGGCAAUGGGGGAGGUGGAAAAGGGGAACAUUUCCCAUCCUCCAGGGUGAAGGUGCAGUCUGGGAGGCAGCAUGCAGGUGCAGAUGGAAGGCAGUGACAGGCAGACAGGGUGCAGGGAUGAAAGAUAGAUAUUUUUUUUCAACCUGCUUUCCUCUCUUUCCCUGCUUUAUAACCUGCUUUUAUAGAGACUGCACGAGGAACACACUUUUUUAUUAGCAGCUUGGGAGUGGAG
RNAcentral lists this long non-coding RNA (16920 nucleotides) under Gallus gallus (chicken). Its description in RNAcentral is "lncRNA (ENSGALG00010014772.1)". Lineage: Eukaryota; Metazoa; Chordata; Aves; Galliformes; Phasianidae. The record is from RNAcentral.